UGUCCGGAUAAGUAGAGGUGAGUGCUACCAUGAGUCCUGUGUCAUUCCAACAGUAAAGCAUCCUGAGACCAUUCAUUUGUGGGGUUGCUCCUCAUCCAAAGGGAAUGGGCUCACUUACAAUUUUGCCUAACAACACUGCUAUGAAUAAAGAAUGGUAUCAAAACAUCCACCAAGAGCAACUAUUCCCAAC
Long non-coding RNA from Bufo bufo (common toad), 190 nucleotides. RefSeq lists it as uncharacterized. The transcript has 3 exons. Lineage: Eukaryota; Metazoa; Chordata; Amphibia; Anura; Bufonidae. The record is from RefSeq and is a predicted model, not a curated record.